GGGGCGGUCGAACUAGCCUGCAAGCCAUUUUGGGAACAGUGUCAGUUUCUACUGCUAUCAAGUGCCGCUCUAUGCAUAGCCUACUGCUUCAUAGGGCUCGAGCACGGAGCAAACCGAUAACCUAUUUGGACCGGCACGGUUCAGAAUCCGUGUAAAGUUUCUGACUCUCCGCGCGUUGAUCUUUUUCUAUUUGUUGAGAAUUUCGCCACUGCCAUUGAACAGCAUUUGUAGCUCGUUCCAAGAUGGCCGCUUGGGUUGCAUUCAUUUUUUUCUGAUCGACUUGUAACUUUCAUUGUCCAUCACAUACGGGAUAUAACCCGUUAGGAUUUCACAAUUUUAGGACAAUGCACAGAACAACAAAAAUCAAGAUUACUGAGCUGAAUCCACAUUUGAUGUGUGUCUUGUGCGGUGGAUAUUUUAUCGACGCAACCACCAUUGUGGAGUGUUUACACUCAUUCUGUAAAAUGUGCAUUGUUUGUUAUCUGGAGACCAGCAAAUUCUGUCCAAUUUGUGAUCUCCAGAUUCACAAAACGAAACCCCUUUUGAAUAUUAGGUCUGACAAGACCCUUCAAGACAUUGUUUACCGGUUGGUACCUGGGGUUUUCAAAGCUGGAAAUGGAUCAAAUGAAGAGCGAGGGGAGGUGGAGAUGAAGAAAAGAGAAUAAUAGCCGACGAUGAGAUUAUAAGCCUGUCCAUCGAAUUUUUUCAUCAGAGCUGCUUUCAAACCGGCAAAAAGUAUGCUUAAAAAAUGCAGCCAACCCCCAUGCUUGUUCAAUGAUUUCUUUGCUCUUUUUUCCAAUUGUAAAUUUAGCUUUUCUCUUAGGCUGGGAAAGGAGGAUGGUGAAGUCAAGGAUAUGAAGACAGAGAUGAUUGACAAGCGAUACUUGCAAUGUCCAGCAGCCAUGACCAUAAUGCAUCUGAGGAAAUUCCUUCGAAGUAAAAUGGAUAUUCCAUGCACCUGUCAGAUAGAAGUUGUGUAUGAAGAUGAACCAUUGACAGAUAGAAGUUGUGUAUGAAGAUGAACCAUUGACAGAUAGAAGUUGUGUAUGAAGAUGAACCAUUGACAGAUAGAAGUUGUGUAUGAAGAUGAACCAUUGACAGAUAGAAGUUGUGUAUGAAGAUGAACCAUUGACAGAUUGAUACACAUUAAUGGACAUUGCACACAUCUACACCUGGAGAAGGGUAAGCAUUUACCCUUGCACUUCAACACAUGAAAUGUCAUCUUUUCUAAUAAGACCUUUAAAUAAUAUGCUGUGUUGUUUUCCUUAUUUAUAAGGUUGUGAAGUGGUGCAUCCAUUCAUGAAUUCGAUUCUCUACCAAGCAAUAUGUUCACAUGUAUUUUGGAGAGAUUACACAUUUAUUAAAAAAAUCUCUAUUGCUUGUCUAAAGCUCAUGUCAUUCUUAAAAUACAUGCUCAUCUGAGAAUAUGGUUAUAAGUCACAGAAAAGUCUCCUGCACACAUACACUUAAGAAAAUCUUCACUUGUUUUAGAAUGGUCCCUUGCCAUUGAAAUACCGGGUACGAACAGGCUGCAAGAAGAUGAAGAUGAGCAGCCCAAGAAACGGGGCCAAAACCACACAACAUGCUGGAGGAGUAUGCUAUGACUCUGGGACUGGGGGUGACAAGCAUCUGAACAAUGACCCCGAAGCUCCCUCCACCUCAUCCUCCUCUCGGCCCAGUCCGAGCCACAGAAUUGUCCACUCAUCAUCAUCAUCAUCAUCAUCGCUUCCCCACUUCCCCCACCUCUCCAGCAUUGGCACCUCAACAAACGGUAUCUUAACAAAAGUGGUUCCAAAUCAACUUUCCCGGACGCCAACAUAGACUGUGGAUACUUUUAUUAUUGUUUCAAACAUUUGCCGUUUUGAUAUAAUCCUAUGUGGACCAGAUAUUUGUUCAUUUGUCUAAGAAACACUGUGGAAAGACUUAUUGAAUUUGCUCAAUGGCACCUGCAGAUCGGAUUUGAAAUGGCUAGCCCAGUAAUGUGCCAUGUGGUUUGGAAUGUGAAAAAAAAUAUCACGUUUACUUCAAACCUGGACAUUCCAAUGAUUCCUAGAACUGAAUUGCCAAUACUGUAGUUGAUUGAAAUGGAAAUGUGGUUUUGGCUUCGUCAACUUCAUUUGUCAACACACAACAAUAGUUGACAAAAAUAGUUGACUAUUGCCCUCUGCAUACAUGUAAUGGGGAAUUUAAUAAACACAACCUGAUUGUUUUGGCUUUAAGUGUGCAAUC
Molecule: long non-coding RNA, 2229 nt
Organism: Oncorhynchus gorbuscha (pink salmon)
Lineage: Eukaryota; Metazoa; Chordata; Actinopteri; Salmoniformes; Salmonidae
Exons: 7
Source: RefSeq, a predicted model, not a curated record